GCUGGCAUGGUGUAGUGGUUUAAACAUCAGAUUAUGACUCUGGAGACCAGAGUUCCAAUCCCAGCUCAGCC
Phrynosoma platyrhinos (Desert horned lizard) is the source of this 71-nucleotide non-coding RNA. NCBI's taxonomy places the organism in Eukaryota, Metazoa, Chordata, Lepidosauria, Squamata, Phrynosomatidae. The record is from the annotation of a GenBank genome assembly.